UUAUGAAGUAAUUAUUAAUCGGGUAAUAUUGGCGUAGCUUAAAACCUAAAGAAUUUGGCGGUAUCUUAAGAAGUCAGGGGAAUCUGUCACUUAAUUUGAUAGCCCACGAGAAUUAUACCAUUUUUUUGAAUAUCAGCUUGUGUAUUGCUGUCGUCAGUAGACCUUUGAGAGAGUUUACAAAUAUAAUUAUUUAUAUACGUCAAGUCUAAAUGCAGCUAAUAAAGUGGAGUAGGUGGAUUACAAUCUGGAUAUGGAUAUGGAGUUAUUAAUAAUAAUGAAGGUGGACUUGAAAGUAAUGAUCAAUUGUCAUGAAAUUUAUCUAAGAUAUGUACAUAUCGCCCGUCACUCUCAUCUUA
Molecule: ribosomal RNA, 356 nt
Filed under: Cernosvitoviella aggtelekiensis
Lineage: Eukaryota; Metazoa; Annelida; Clitellata; Enchytraeida; Enchytraeidae
Description: partial 12S ribosomal RNA
Source: RNAcentral